CUCAGCUUCUUUUAUUGCUCUUGAUAAAACAGGACAUGGAGAACAUGGCUGACUGCUCAAGGUCGCCUCAAUGCACUUUAUAUUGUACAGUAGAUCGCACAAUAAUACAUACAGAGACAAACCCAACAAUCAUAUGACCCCCUAUGAGCAAGCACUUUGGCAACAGUGGGAAGGAAAAACUCCCUUUUAACAGGAAGAAACCUCCGGCAGAACCAGGCUCAGGGAGGGGCGGGGCCAUCUGCUGCAACUGGUUGGCAGUGGGGACACAAGCACGCUGUGGGAGAGAGCCAGUGGUUGUUGUAAACAAACUUAUAGCAGCAUCUGUACAUCAUGUUUUUAUAUCCAUAGCAGAAAUCAAAGAACCACAUGAAACAGAAGUAAGAUGAAGCAAACAGGUGUGGAUGUCACUACAAAGGUGUAGGCCCCAGAGUUGGAGCUGCUAACAACUGUGGCUGUGGGAGGGGUUAUUAAAUUAUAUCUACCAGUGAGGGGCAGAUAUAACCCACAAAUUCUAUCCAAUCAGAGCUCCCCCACCGUCUGGCAGCAUGAAGCUGAACAGCGAACAGGUCACGUUGGUGUAGAGAACCGACUUCGUGUUCAUGAAUGUGACCGCAGCUCUGAGGUCCUCCUGAGCUCUUCGUACUGAAACUCUGAGUCAUGUUUUUACUUUUGUUUUCACAUUUGGGGAAUCCCAGGGCAGUUUUUACUUUCAUUUGGUGACUGUCCAGGCUGCACAGGGUCAGAGCAGAUGUUUUUGGAGCAGGAAGCACCUGAAGGACAACGCUAAAGACAGUCAAACUUCUGAGGAGAUGGAGAGAGACGAGGAACUGGAAAGAUUGUUUCAGAGGUUAGCUGUAUUUACACCCUGCAGAGCAGACAGACUGAGGAGCUGUGAUGAAAGGGAAAGAUUGACAAAGCUGGCAAUGAGAAGCUGCACAGAUGAAGUCACCCUGCAGUGGCUGAGAAAAAACUCUGAUGCCUUCACAGACAUGUUUGACUUUCUGAAGAAACACAUUGAUGAGGAGGAGAAGAAGAACCACAGUGAUAAUGUUCACAUCAGCUUCGUGGCUCAUGGAGCAAUCAAAGACUUCAUGAUCGCAGCCAGCUGUUACCUGCCUCUGCCCACCAUCACUGACGUGCUCCUGUAUUCUCCCUGGAACUGCAUCACUUCUGGUUUAGUGUACGGUGUCGCUACAGGAAAACUGAGGCCUCAGCACAGAGUUUUUUACUGUAGGAAAGAAAAAGGCUGUAUUAUUCCUGAUGACAAACAUCGACCUGUGAACCUGCCAGACCACUGGAACUCACUGAAGAAAGCUGGAGCACAGAUGGUCCCAAACAUCACGGUUAGCCCUCUUCGAGAUGAUGAUGGAGUGUGGGAACACUUUGAGUCUCUCUCAGCUAAACACGGCCCACCAGGAAGGAACCGCAUCGUCAUCCCGUACAACCUCCCAGGACGGGAAUAUGAAAGCAUCCCGUUCUCUGUGGUGACCUUGGCUCUGUCCCUGGUGCUCCUCUCCUCCAGGUUUAAAGGGACUCUUCACUUCUCUGGUUGUCUCGGUGAUCACUCUACUGGACAGAAAUUUGACAGGAAGUAUCUUCAGGAGCAGUACGCCUGCACCAUCGACAACAGCAUGAUGACACAUUCACCUGAAGCUUUCAGGGAGACAGAUGAUGAUAAAUGCCGCUUGUGUUAGACAUGUUUGUGGACGUGUUAGUGUAAAGAUGAUGAUCAAGUUAUUUUUCUAUAUUUGAGGCUCAGAUUCAUGAUGAAUGGACUUGAAUCAUCAUUUAGAAAUGUUCCAGCACCAGGUUUAAACUGAUUUCUUUAUUCAGUGUAUCAGAAGCACGUUUGGGUUUAAAGUGGUUCAGACACACCUGUUCAUAAUCUGCUAACCUCUGUGGAGGUUAUUAAUAUAAACAGACUCACCUGUUCUCUGCUUGCUGCUCAGGUGACGUGAUACUGAUGUCAAACCAUCAGCCAGCACACUCAGAUCAUUGACAUGAAGUAUAUAGAUUAUUUAUGUACAUUAUGUAUUAUUUUGAUCUUUUAUUGCUUCAUGUCAGGGUUUUAGGUCCAUGUAGAACAAUAAGUUAUGAGCCACAGCUUUCUAACUCAGACUGAACUGUGUCUGUCACGUACUAAACAUAAAAGUAACACAAGUCUACAAGUUGUACGUCGAUAUUUUCAUGCCUACAGACUCAUACAGAUUAUUUCUGAUCUUUUGUUAUUGUAAAACAUUAAAAUGUGAAGAUGAUGUCGUCUAAAUGAAGAAGAACAGGAUGAAAACUUGAAGCUGCUCAUUAAAAACAAUAUCGUUUAUAUAAAAUGUGCCUUGAUCACUGGAAGAACAUGUUGAUGGCAGAUACAUGCAGCUCCACAUGUGGCGGCUUUAAGAAAUCCCAGCAGUGUUUGAAACAAAGACUCCACAGAACAAACCCACAAAAUAAGAGGUACAUGUCAGGAGCAGUUUGGGCUUCAGUAUCUUUCUCAACAACAUCUCCACUUGAGGAGUUAUAGAGGACUGCAAACCCUACUGACGGCCCAGCCUCAGCCUCGCCUUAUGAAUUUAAUAUUCAAAUGUGAAGAUGUGGUUACUAUCAGUAAAGAAGCAUUAUGUAAGAACACAUCAUCAAAUGAAAACCGUUCAGUAAAUCGGGUGACUUACAGGAAUCGGGAUCUGUUCCAUGGUCCAAACAGACAUGUGACAUGAAUGUGAUAAACUCACACAGCUGCUGUUGCUGAAGGCCGAGGCUUUCCUGUAAAUGGUUUGGAAAUCACCACCGUGCUUCUGGCAGUGCAUGCUGUAGUUUCUCUUUCACUUGGUGACGCUCCAGGUUUUUCCCUCGUGCUACGUCAGACUGAGCCGGCCAAUCAGAUGAAGGAUGCUGCCACAACAGCUGAAAAAGUUCAUAAAGAUCCUCCAAAGCAAGUAUGAUGAGGUCUUCUGUUUAGUGGCCUCUCUGACUUUUUCUGCAUGCUCUAAAUUGUGAUGAUGCUGAUGAUGUCAUCAUUACGAUGUAAUGGCCCUUUUCCACCUACCUGGAACGACGGCACGGUUUUCAGGGUUUUCCAUUUGGCCAAAAUGCGUGGUACCAGGUACUGUUUUAGUACCUUCUCGGCCAGGGUUCCAAGCGAUCUGAGCAGGUACUAAAAUGUGACGUUGUCCUACUGCAUGACAACAGUUGGCUGGUCAGUAGUGUCACUCGAUGAGUCAUGAGAGCGUCUCAUUCACAUAAAUUAAAACUACCAUUUUUGAAAUGAGGCAAUGAGGAAAAUGGCUACAAAAAACAACACGUGUUCCCCAAGUCUGACAAAAAGCAGCAGGUAUAUGUUCGCUUUCUUAUAGCAUUUGCAUUGCAUAAUAAUUACGUUGUGAGAUGCACAGACACGUUGUUAUGACAACAAGCAUGCACACUGGGUUAUAAUGGAAAACUAAUCGUGGCAAGUUGAGUCGUGGCCAGUAGUAGGUACUAACUCCAAGUAGGUACUAAAUAGAAAAGGGGCUUAAGUCAGUGAGCUCAUUCCUGAAUGAUGGCCUCAUGAGUGGACUGAGCACUGCUCUCAACAGGUUUUUGAUGGGUAGAUGUCAACUUGACGCACCACAGAAGAGCGAAGAUUUAUAGAAUCAUGUUUUGAUUUCUUUCCUAAAUUAAUUUUUCAUCAUUUUCCCUUUGUUUUAACCCUUUAAGACCUACCAUAGAACCAAGUCCGCCAGACCUUAUCUUUAUAUUUUUACAUGCUGUGGAGCCAUUUUUGGGAGCAUUUCAAGUUGCUAUACAUCAAUACAACUGUUAUUGCCCAAAUU
This is a long non-coding RNA of Oreochromis aureus, 3806 nucleotides long. The record is from Ensembl. NCBI's taxonomy places the organism in Eukaryota, Metazoa, Chordata, Actinopteri, Cichliformes, Cichlidae.